Molecule: non-coding RNA, 186 nt
Filed under: Deltaproteobacteria bacterium
Lineage: Bacteria; Pseudomonadati; Myxococcota; Myxococcia
Description: 6S RNA
Rfam family: 6S / SsrS RNA
About the family: E. coli 6S RNA was the first non coding RNA to be sequenced, but its function was unknown until recently. It consists of 184 nucleotides that fold into an extended hairpin structure with a large single-stranded internal bulge.
Source: RNAcentral
GAGUCCCUGCCGGGUUCGUGAUUCGGACUGAAUCGCUGGCCCCUGUGUUCCGAUCCUUCGGGAUCCGAUGGUGGUCGUGGACGGCGUGCCUCUCUGGCGAGGAUCCGACAAGCGGCCAUCGCGGGACCCACCUCUUUUCAGGAGGGGGUCCAGGAUCAACGUCCACACGGCCAUGGCGGGUCCCCU